RNAcentral lists this ribosomal RNA (492 nucleotides) under uncultured bacterium. Its description in RNAcentral is "partial 16S ribosomal RNA". It matches the Rfam family "Bacterial small subunit ribosomal RNA", at positions 29 to 507 of the family's 1533-position model. The record is from RNAcentral.
AGUGAACGCUGGCGGUAGGCCUAACACAUGCAAGUCGAACGGCAGCACAGUAAGAGCUUGCUCUUACGGGUGGCGAGUGGCGGACGGGUGAGGAAUACAUCGGAAUCUACUUUUUCGUGGGGGAUAACGUAGGGAAACUUACGCUAAUACCGCAUACGACCUACGGGUGAAAGCAGGGGAUCUUCGGACCUUGCGCGAUUGAAUGAGCCGAUGUCGGAUUAGCUAGUUGGCGGGGUAAAGGCCCACCAAGGCGACGAUCCGUAGCUGGUCUGAGGGGAUGAUCAGCCACACUGGAACUGAGACACGGUCCAGACUCCUACGGGAGGCAGCAGUGGGGAAUAUUGGACAAUGGGCGCAAGCCGGAUCCAGCCAUACCGCGUGGGUGAAGAAGGCCUUCGGGUUGUAGAGCCCUUUUGUUGGGAAAGAAAAGAAGCAGGUUAAUACCCCGCUGUUCUGACGGUACCCAAAGAAUAAGCACCGGCUAACUUCGUG